This 408-nucleotide ribosomal RNA is filed under the name Streptococcus mitis. RNAcentral's name for it is "bacterial SSU rRNA". It matches the Rfam family "Bacterial small subunit ribosomal RNA", at positions 28 to 415 of the family's 1533-position model. The record is from RNAcentral. Lineage: Bacteria; Bacillati; Bacillota; Bacilli; Lactobacillales; Streptococcaceae.
GACGAACGCUGGCGGCGUGCCUAAUACAUGCAAGUAGAACGCUGAAGGAGGAGCUUGCUUCUCUGGAUGAGUUGCGAACGGGUGAGUAACGCGUAGGUAACCUGCCUGGUAGCGGGGGAUAACUAUUGGAAACGAUAGCUAAUACCGCAUAAGAGUAGAUGUUGCAUGACAUUUGCUUAAAAGGUGCAAUUGCAUCACUACCAGAUGGACCUGCGUUGUAUUAGCUAGUUGGUGAGGUAACGGCUCACCAAGGCAACGAUACAUAGCCGACCUGAGAGGGUGAUCGGCCACACUGGGACUGAGACACGGGCCCAGACUCCUACGGGAGGCAGCAGUAGGGAAUCUUCCGGGCAAAUGGGACGGAAAGUUCUGACCGAAGCAAACCGCCCGCGUGAAGUGAAAGAAAGG